UACGGAGGGUGCGAGCGUUGUCCGGAAUCACUGGGCGUAAAGGGCGCGUAGGCGGCUCAUGAAGGCUGUGGUGAAAGUCCGGGGCUCAACCUCGGAUCGGCCGUGGCGACUCGUGGGCUGGAGCACUGUAGAGGCGGGUGGAAUUCCGGGUGUAGCGGUGGAAUGCGUAGAGAUCCGGAAGAACACCAGUGGCGAAGGCGGCCCGCUGGGCAGUGGCUGACGCUGAAGCGCGACAGCGUGGGGAGCAAACGGG
Molecule: ribosomal RNA, 253 nt
Filed under: uncultured bacterium
Lineage: Bacteria
Description: partial 16S ribosomal RNA
Rfam family: Bacterial small subunit ribosomal RNA
Source: RNAcentral